CUACCAUCUAUACCCUCUCUACCACCAGUCCUACCUGACAGACGGUUUAUUCCCACUUUCCUCCCUCCAUCCCCGUACUCUUCGGGUGGACGGUAUCCUAACCUUGCUUCUGGACGGUCUGCUUUCUCAAUCAAUCCGGUUUCUUCUUCCGCUCGGUACUCAUCUACCCUACCCCUCGCAGGAGCUCGGCCGUCUGUACCACCAAGAAAUCAAAGGAAAGAUGAAUUUUUGCCAUCUUGUCCACGAGAAAGCUAGAACAGACUUGUUUUGUUGGUACCAGCUAGAUAGAAAGAAAGGACAGACUCGCUAACGCUCACACAUCGUUAAGGUUUUGCUCUUUUACGCCCACCAGAGUCAUGUUUU
RNAcentral lists this unclassified non-coding RNA (363 nucleotides) under Zea mays. Its description in RNAcentral is "misc RNA Zm00001eb437330". The record is from RNAcentral. Lineage: Eukaryota; Viridiplantae; Streptophyta; Magnoliopsida; Poales; Poaceae.